Molecule: long non-coding RNA, 773 nt
Organism: Oncorhynchus keta (chum salmon)
Lineage: Eukaryota; Metazoa; Chordata; Actinopteri; Salmoniformes; Salmonidae
Exons: 3
Source: RefSeq, a predicted model, not a curated record
AACAUUUAGUAUCUCUCUAGGUUACGGUGUGAUCUCUGAAGUACACUGUAACCUGGUAACAUUUAGUAUCUCUCUAGGUUACGGUGUGAUCUCUGAAGUAUACUGUAACCUGGUAACAUUUAGUAUCUCUCUAGGUUACGGUGUGAUCUCUGAAGUAUACUGUAACCUGGUAACAUUUAGUAUCUCUCUAGGUUACGGUGUGAUCUCUGAAGUACACUGUAACCUGGUAACAUUUAGUAUCUCUCUAGGUUACGGUGUGAUCUCUGAAGUAUACUGUAACCUGGUAACAUUUAGUAUCUCUCUAGGUUACGGUGUGAUCUCUGAAGUAUACUGUAACCUGGUAACAUUUAGUAUCUCUCUCGGUUACGGUGUGAUCUCUGAAGUAUACUGUAACCUGGUAACAUUUAGUAUCUCUCUAGGUUACGGUGUGAUCUCUGAAGUAUACUGUAACCUGGUAACAUUUAGUAUCUCUCUCGGUUACGGUGUGAUCUCUGAAGUAUACUGUAACCUGGUAACAUUUAGUAUCUCUCUAGGUUACGGUGUGAUCUCUGAAGUAUACUGUAACCUGGUAACAUUUAGUAUCUCUCUAGGUUACGGUGUGAUCUCUGAAGUACACUGUAACCUGGUAACAUUUAGUAUCUCUCUAGGUUACGGUGUGAUCUCUGAAGUAUACUGUAACCUGGUAACAUUUAGUAUCUCUCUAGGUUACGGUGUGAUCUCUGAAGUACACUGUAACCUGGUAACAUUUAGUAUCUCUCUAGGUUACGGUGUGA